CUUGAGGAAGCGUUUUAUCCACGUGGACAGAAAACAUGUCCUUGAGGGCACGUUUUCUGUCCACGUGGGCAAAACGCUUCUAGG
Gossypium hirsutum (cotton) is the source of this 84-nucleotide non-coding RNA. The record is from Rfam. NCBI's taxonomy places the organism in Eukaryota, Viridiplantae, Streptophyta, Magnoliopsida, Malvales, Malvaceae.